Chelonoidis abingdonii (Abingdon island giant tortoise) is the source of this 124-nucleotide non-coding RNA. NCBI's taxonomy places the organism in Eukaryota, Metazoa, Chordata, Testudines, Testudinidae. The record is from RefSeq and is a predicted model, not a curated record.
ACACCCCACCAGAAGGGACUGCAGCCCGGGGUCCCAAGCCCCAUCACCCAAGACUGAAGCCAAAGCAUGAGCAACUUAGCUUUGUGGUGCCUCCGGUGACAUGGGGCUCCGGGCAAUUGCCCUG